Molecule: transfer RNA, 72 nt
Filed under: Camelus bactrianus (Bactrian camel)
Lineage: Eukaryota; Metazoa; Chordata; Mammalia; Artiodactyla; Camelidae
Also listed under: 3 other names
Rfam family: tRNA
About the family: Transfer RNA (tRNA) molecules are approximately 80 nucleotides in length. Their secondary structure includes four short double-helical elements and three loops (D, anti-codon, and T loops). Further hydrogen bonds mediate the characteristic L-shaped molecular structure. tRNAs have two regions of fundamental functional importance: the anti-codon, which is responsible for specific mRNA codon recognition, and the 3' end, to which the tRNAs corresponding amino acid is attached (by aminoacyl-tRNA synthetases). tRNAs cope with the degeneracy of the genetic code in two manners: having more than one tRNA (with a specific anti-codon) for a particular amino acid; and 'wobble' base-pairing, i.e. permitting non-standard base-pairing at the 3rd anti-codon position.
Source: Rfam by way of RNAcentral
GAAGGUAUAGCUCAGUACUAGAGUACCUGCUUAGCAUGCACGAGGUCCUGGGUUCAAUCCCCAGCACCUCCA